This 207-nucleotide long non-coding RNA is filed under the name Amborella trichopoda. Its description in RNAcentral is "long non-coding RNA (ATRI_LNC004311)". Lineage: Eukaryota; Viridiplantae; Streptophyta; Magnoliopsida; Amborellales; Amborellaceae. The record is from RNAcentral.
AACCUCAGAGAGCGACAAAUAAGAAGGAAGCUUGAAGACUAUGGGCCGAUAGACUUAGACACAAUAUUUGUCACAGACACAGCAGACCAAUGGGUAGUAGAAGAGGAGGAGCCAGUGUUGCACAAGAGAGCGUUCCUUGAGGCUAUCGGUGAUGAAGAUAUUGAAGAAAGUGAUGAGCAGCAUGAAAGAAGAAGCAGCCAGCCAAUG